This is a non-coding RNA of Pelobates cultripes (western spadefoot toad), 98 nucleotides long. The record is from the annotation of a GenBank genome assembly. NCBI's taxonomy places the organism in Eukaryota, Metazoa, Chordata, Amphibia, Anura, Pelobatidae.
UGAAAUAAGUAAGUGGAGACAACGUUUCGGCUCCUCUCUGAGCCUUGAUUAAGUUUGCUCAGAGAGGAGCCGAAACAUUGUCUCCACUUCCUUGUUUC